UAGGGAAUCUUCGGCAAUGGACGCAAGUCUGACCGAGCAACGCCGCGUGAGUGAAGAAGGUUUUCGGAUCGUAAAACUCUGUUGUUAGAGAAGAACAAGGAUGAGAGUAGAAUGUUCAUCCCUUGACGGUAUCUAACCAGAAAGCCACGGCUAACUACGUGCCAGCAGCCGCGGUAAUACGUAGGUGGCAAGCGUUGUCCGGUUUUAUUGGGCGUAAAGCGAGCGCAGGCGGUUUCUUAAGUCUGAUGUGAAAGCCCCCGGCUCAACCGGGGAGGGUCAUUGGAAACUGGGAAGCUUGAGUGCAGAAGAGGAGAGUGGAAUUCCAUGAGUAGCGGUGAAAUGCGUAGAUAUAUGGAGGAACACCAGUGGCGAAGGCGGCUCUAUGGUCUGUAACUGACGCUGAGGCUCGAAAGCGUAGGGAGCAAACAGG
This 430-nucleotide ribosomal RNA is filed under the name Fusobacteriota bacterium. RNAcentral's name for it is "Fusobacteria bacterium partial 16S ribosomal RNA". It matches the Rfam family "Bacterial small subunit ribosomal RNA", at positions 355 to 776 of the family's 1533-position model. Lineage: Bacteria; Fusobacteriati; Fusobacteriota. The record is from RNAcentral.